GACGAACGCUGGCGGCGUGCUUAACACAUGCAAGUCGAACGGAAAGGCCCUGCUUGCAGGGUGCUCGAGUGGCGAACGGGUGAGUAACACGUGGGUGAUCUGCCCCUUAUUUUGGGAUAAGCCUGGGAAACUGGGUCUAAUACUGGAUAGGACCAUGCUGUAGGUGGUGUGGUGGAAAGAUUAGUUUCGGUAAGGGAUGAGCUCGCGGCCUAUCAGCUUGUUGGUGGGGUAAUGGCCUACCAAGGCGUCGACGGGUAGCCGGCCUGAGAGGGUGGACGGCCACAUUGGGACUGAGAUACGGCGCAGACGCCUACGGGAGGCAGCAGUGGGGAAUAUUGCACAAUGGGCGCAAGCCGGAUGCAGCGACGCCGCGGGGGGGAUGACGGCCUUCGGGUUGUAAACUCCUUUCAGCCAUGACGAAGCCCUUGUGGUGACGGUAGUGGUAGAAGAAGCACCGGCUAACUACGUG
This 469-nucleotide ribosomal RNA is filed under the name uncultured bacterium. Its description in RNAcentral is "partial 16S ribosomal RNA". It matches the Rfam family "Bacterial small subunit ribosomal RNA", at positions 28 to 507 of the family's 1533-position model. The record is from RNAcentral.